CUACCUCGCCUCCAGCUGCUUCAGGAGAAAGGAAUUAAAAUCAAGCCCAAGUUGCUUUCCAGACGCUGUCCAAGUGUGCCUCUUUUUCUUUCUACUUUUUUUCAGUUAAAGAUACGGUAUCAGAGGUGGCUGAGAAGAUUGUUAGAGCCAGAGGCGUGAAAGUAAAUGGUUUAUGGAGAGCAAAGCCCUGAGAAGAAAGAAGAAUGUGAGGACCACAAAGUUCCAGAGCUAUGCCAGCCUUAUUCUGGUGGUUCUUUCUGGAGACAACGAAGCGAUGGAUCAUCACAGAAACACAAACACAACCGAUUCUGUGUUUACCCAGACGAUGAAGACUGGGCAAAGCUGGGGAAAAGAGAAGGCCUAGAAUGGUAUUAAAAAUGCCAUGUAAUGGUGCAGGAAUGCGCAAGCUAUGGAUUAAUCUAUACUGUGUGAUUCCAUGUUAGUGCCCUGUAAAUGUACACAAACGUUUACAUACUAGUAACAGACGGAAAAUAUGUAAGAACUUGACAGCAACUCAUCCAUUUCAGAGGAGCACUUAGGGGAAAGAAGCCAUUAAAUUUGCUUCAGUUGUUUGUUAUCUGAAUGGUCCCAGGAAUCAUAUAUUAUAUUAUGAAAUGCAUUUUAAAUACGCUCAUUUUU
Molecule: long non-coding RNA, 639 nt
Filed under: Mus pahari (shrew mouse)
Lineage: Eukaryota; Metazoa; Chordata; Mammalia; Rodentia; Muridae
Description: predicted gene 14271 (MGP_PahariEiJ_G0003415.1)
Source: RNAcentral